Molecule: ribosomal RNA, 793 nt
Filed under: uncultured bacterium
Lineage: Bacteria
Description: bacterial SSU rRNA
Rfam family: Bacterial small subunit ribosomal RNA
Source: RNAcentral
AGAGUUUGAUCAUGGCUCAGAUUGAACGCUGGCGGCGUGCCUAACACAUGCAAGUCGAGCGGUAACAGGUGUAGCAAUACAUGCUGACGAGCGGCGAACGGGUGAGUAAUGCUUCGGAAUCUACCUUAUGGUGGGGAAUAACUAGCCGAAAGGUUAGCUAAUACCGCAUACGUCCUACGGGAGAAAGCAGGGGAUCGUAAGACCUUGCGCCAAAAGAUGAGCCGAAGUCGGAUUAGCUAGUUGGUAGGGUAACGGCCUACCAAGGCGACGAUCCGUAGCUGGUCUGAGAGGACGACCAGCCACACUGGGACUGAGACACGGCCCAGACUCCUACGGGAGGCAGCAGUGGGGAAUAUUGGACAAUGGGGGAAACCCUGAUCCAGCGACGCCGCGUGUGUGAAGAAGGCCUGCGGGUUGUAAAGCACUUUUAGUGGGGAUGAAAUGUUCAUGGCUAAUACCCGUGGAUUUUGACCUAACCCACAGAAAAAGCACCGGCUAACUCUGUGCCAGCAGCCGCGGUAAUACAGAGGGUGCAAGCGUUAAUCGGAAUUACUGGGCGUAAAGCGUGCGUAGACGGUUACAUAAGUCGGGUGUGAAACCCGGGCUCAACCUGGGAAUUGCAUUCGAGACUGCGUAGCUAGGGUGCGGAAGAGGGAAGCGGAAUUUCCGGUGUAGCGGUGAAAUGCGUAGAUAUCGGAAGGAACACCAGUGGCGAAAGCGGCUUCCUGGUCCAGCACCGACGUUCAGGCACGAAAGCGUGGGGAGCAAACAGGAUUAGAUACCCUAGUAGUCC